GAUGAACGCUGGCGGCGUGCUUAACACAUGCAAGUCGAACGAGCUUUAUUACUACGAUCCCUUCGGGGUGACGGUUUUAAAGCGAGUGGCGGACGGGUGAGUAACGCGUGGGUAACCUGCCUUGUACAGGGGGAUAACAGUUGGAAACGGCUGCUAAUACCGCAUAAGCGCACAGUGCCGCAUGGUAUAGUGUGAAAAACUCCGGUGGUAUAAGAUGGACCCGCGUUUGAUUAGCUGGUUGGUGGGGUAACGGCCUACCAAGGCGACGAUCAAUAGCCGACCUGAGAGGGUGACCGGCCACAUUGGGACUGAGACACGGCCCAAACUCCUACGGGAGGCAGCAGUGGGGAAUAUUGCACAAUGGGCGAAAGCCUGAUGCAGCGACGCCGCGUGAGCGAAGAAGUAUUUCGGUAUGUAAAGCUCUAUCAGCAGGGAAGAUAAUGACGGUACCUGACUAAGAAGCACCGGCUAAAUACGUG
Molecule: ribosomal RNA, 479 nt
Filed under: uncultured bacterium
Lineage: Bacteria
Description: bacterial SSU rRNA
Rfam family: Bacterial small subunit ribosomal RNA
Source: RNAcentral